Molecule: long non-coding RNA, 465 nt
Organism: Planococcus citri (citrus mealybug)
Lineage: Eukaryota; Metazoa; Arthropoda; Insecta; Hemiptera; Pseudococcidae
Exons: 2
Source: RefSeq, a predicted model, not a curated record
AUUAUGUACAUGAAUAAACAGUUGAUAACAGACAAAUGCACCAAUGACGACAAAAUUUAUCAGUAAUUUUCACCACGAUGUGCCGUCAUAUGUAAUCGCAGUACCAACGUAAUCGAAGGUUGGACAAUAAGAAGAUUUCGUGUUACAAUUUCUUCACACCCAGUCGUUUUUUCAAGCAUUGUUUUGUGAGUUAAAAUCCACCCUAAGUUGGUGAAAAAUGAAUUUAUAGCAUGGCGGAUAUUAAACAACUAAUAUUAUACGUCGUACUGUUGUUCAUGUGUCCAUUCUCGACAAUAUGCGUCAUCGUGCAUUUGUACAAAUUUUCCAAGAGUACGGCACCACAAAGUCUGUCAACGAAGAACCUUACUUUUUACUGUUUUAUACUGUUGCUCAUCUACAUCCUAACAUUUACAUACAUUGUUACGAUUAUGAUGUUUUUCCGUAGAAUACAGAAUUAUAUUCUGA